ACGAAGGUGGCAAGCGUUACUCGGAAUUACUAGGCGUAAAGGGCAGGUAGGUGGUUCAGUAAGUCUGUUGUGGAAGCUCCCGGCUUAACCGGGAGAGGCCAACGGAAACUACUGAACUUGAGUGUAGGAGAGGGUACUGGAAUUCCCGGUGUAGCGGUGAAAUGCGCAGAGAUCGGGAGGAACACCAAUGGCGAAAGCAGGUACCUGGACUAUUACUGACACUAAGCUGCGAAAGCUAGGGGAGCAAACAGGA
This 253-nucleotide ribosomal RNA is filed under the name uncultured prokaryote. RNAcentral's name for it is "partial 16S ribosomal RNA". It matches the Rfam family "Bacterial small subunit ribosomal RNA", at positions 525 to 777 of the family's 1533-position model. The record is from RNAcentral.